RNAcentral lists this ribosomal RNA (405 nucleotides) under uncultured bacterium. RNAcentral describes it as "partial 16S ribosomal RNA". It matches the Rfam family "Bacterial small subunit ribosomal RNA", at positions 30 to 526 of the family's 1533-position model. The record is from RNAcentral.
AUUGCACGCUAGCGGGAUGCUUUACACAUGCAAGUAGAACGAGCGGCGGACGGGUGAGUAAUAUAUCGGACAGUGCCAAGUAGCGGGGGAUAACUACCCGGAAGAGUGGCUAAUACCGCAUACUCUUGGAGCGGCCGAUAGCGGCUUAGCGCGUUGGUGGGGUAAAGGCUAACCAAGGCAACGAUCCGUAGCUGGUUUGAGAGGACGACCAGCCACACGGUGACUGAGCCACGGCCCAGACUCCUACGGGAGGCAGCAGUGGGGAAGUGUGGACAAGGGGGGAAACCCUGAUCCAGCCAUCCCGCGUGUAUGAGAAGGCCUUCGGGUUGUAAAGUACGUUUAGCAGAGAAGCGGUAUCUGCAGAAUAAGCACCGGCUAACUACGUGCCAGCCGCCGCGGUAAUUC